Molecule: long non-coding RNA, 698 nt
Filed under: Eutrema salsugineum
Lineage: Eukaryota; Viridiplantae; Streptophyta; Magnoliopsida; Brassicales; Brassicaceae
Description: long non-coding RNA (ESAL_LNC002033)
Source: RNAcentral
UUACAUGCAUUGAAAACAUUGACAGCUAAUUUUUGUUUUAAGGUUUUUUGUAUUCUCGACGAUAUGAAAUUAGAGUGCCCCCAUUUUUUUUUUUUAAACGAUAUGAAAGAUUAGUCCAUGUUUAAACUAAAAACCCAGAAACCCAUGCCAUCUCCCAAGACUAGUCAAAAUUUUGAUACAAUAAUAACUUGCCGUGAACGUGAAGUACUUAAAGAUCACGAUGACGAAACAUGGAAGAUUUAACAAUUUAGUUGAACCAGGACAUUAGGGGGCAAAUGGUUUCCGGUACACAUCUUCUUCUUCACCCAAUUAUUAUUAUUAUCAUUUGUUUUGCUUAAACUCUUCUUCAACCAAUUUGCGCACUUGACUAUUAAAAAUGUUCUGCAAAUAGUUUGCUAGAGAUAAUCUGAAGAAAUAACACUGCAAAUCUGAUUGAAAAAGUAAACUAAUUUACAAGAACCAACGAAAUUUACAUCUAAAAGUCAACCAAAAAAAAAAGAAAAAGAAGCAAGAUAUAUAAUGUAAUAAAAAGAAGAUUAAAUUUUCAAGGGAGAAAACCAAAGAGGAAUGGAGAAGGGUAAGAAGGGGAGAUGCCAUGGCGGAGGAGCGACGGGGGAGGCAGAGGAGUACGGUGGUUGAGGUGUUGCCGCCAUGCAAUCUGGACGGUUUCAGCCACCACUACGACGAACUCCAUACCU